GAUCCUAGCUCAGGAUGAACGCUAGCGACAGGCCUAACACAUGCAAGUCGAGGGGCAGCGGAGAGGUAGCAAUACCUUUGCCGGCGACCGGCGCACGGGUGAGUAACACGUAUGCAAUCCACCUAUAACAGGGGGAUAACCCGGAGAAAUCCGGACUAAUACCCCAUAAUAUGGGCUCUCCGCAUGGAGAGCCCAUUAAAGAGAGCAAUUUUGGUUACAGACGAGCAUGCGCUCCA
Molecule: ribosomal RNA, 236 nt
Filed under: uncultured bacterium
Lineage: Bacteria
Description: partial 16S ribosomal RNA
Rfam family: Bacterial small subunit ribosomal RNA
Source: RNAcentral